Molecule: ribosomal RNA, 320 nt
Filed under: uncultured Brevundimonas sp.
Lineage: Bacteria; Pseudomonadati; Pseudomonadota; Alphaproteobacteria; Caulobacterales; Caulobacteraceae
Description: bacterial SSU rRNA
Rfam family: Bacterial small subunit ribosomal RNA
Source: RNAcentral
CGAAUGUGCCCUUCGGGGGAAAGAUUUAUCGCCUUUAGAGCGGCCCGCGUCUGAUUAGCUAGUUGGUGAGGUAAAGGCUCACCAAGGCGACGAUCAGUAGCUGGUCUGAGAGGAUGAUCAGCCACAUUGGGACUGAGACACGGCCCAAACUCCUACGGGAGGCAGCAGUGGGGAAUCUUGCGCAAUGGGCGAAAGCCUGACGCAGCCAUGCCGCGUGAAUGAUGAAGGUCUUAGGAUUGUAAAAUUCUUUCACCGGGGACGAUAAUGACGGUACCCGGAGAAGAAGCCCCGGCUAACUUCGUGCCAGCAGCCGCGGUAAU